AAUAGUGCAAUGAAGAGACUAAGUAGAAUAGAUUAAUUAUUUUACAGAGAAGAUGAGCCUUGGCUGUGAGCUCGUCGAAAAUAAUCCUAUUUGAAAACUAACUUGGAGCAGAAUUUAGUAGCAUUUUGUAUGUGAAAGUAUUCGGUUGACUACCUUAUAGUCAUCAAGAGGAUAUAUAUUUACUAUAUAUCAACUUGGGUGGAACCACGACAUAUAACUCGUCCCAAAU
RNAcentral lists this non-coding RNA (229 nucleotides) under Terrisporobacter sp. RNAcentral describes it as "T-box sequence". It matches the Rfam family "T-box leader". From Rfam's summary of the family: Uncharged tRNA acts as the effector for transcription antitermination of genes in the T-box leader family. T-boxes are found upstream of many aminoacyl-tRNA synthetase genes and some amino acid biosynthetic genes usually in Gram-positive bacteria. The record is from RNAcentral. Lineage: Bacteria; Bacillati; Bacillota; Clostridia; Peptostreptococcales; Peptostreptococcaceae.